AGUUUCCAGUACUGGAUAUAACAUAGUAUACCAAUACAUUAUUCAAGGUUGUCUUGAAGACCAUAGCCAAUAAAAUAUGACAAAAUGUUUUCUUUAUCCAGGCUUGGAAGAACCAUAUAGAAUCAGUGAUGGUUAACAAUAUGUUUGGUCUUAAAAGUAAACACAAUGGUGACGGCUCAACUUUAGUCCCUAUCACUCUGAAACUCUAGUUCUUAUGGUCUUGAAAAAAUAUUAAUAGAAGCUGUGUGCGAAUGUAUGCCUGUGACACAUACAAACCCUAACUCAGCUGUUGCUUAAAAGCCACAUACAUUUUAUAAAUACUUCAAAUUAUGUAAAGAAAGCCCAGUUUGCAGAAUUCAAAAUUGGGUGAGGUUGCCGAGGAAUUUUUGCCAGCGACAGGAGCAGCAUCUUCUGGCUCUAUGAAAGCUAUCCAUCAGGGAAAAAGGUUCCAGGCCAUCACUAUGAAAGCAAGCCAGUAGGGAUGAAGCUUCAAUACUAUGGGAUGUAAUCAUCCAUCUCACCUAGAUGAGAACCCUGUGACCUACAAUAAUGACUAACAUGGCAAGACAUUUUCUGGAGACAUAUUGUGGCAUGAAUGUUCUGGGAGUGACCAAUGACUUUCUGGUUGGAUUUUGAGCUAAAUCUCCACAACAGAGCUCAUAUCUGGUACAAUUUACAGGGCCAUGAACAUAAAAUAUAGAUCAAAGGCCCUGGAUGAGAACCUACUAUUAUUAUUAUUCAGCUAAGAGGAUCUAGUAUCAACAUAACCCCUAAAGAUUUAUCAUUAUAUUAUAUAUAAAAGCAUCUCUCAAGUUUCAUCACAGAAGAUUACUUUGGCAGCAGAUCACAUUGUAAUCCUAUUAUUUGAAGCAAAAUAGAAAUAAUUGUUACAUAAGGGGGAUAUAUUAUAAUUUAGAGAAAUUAUUCCAGAUUUAAUUGAUACCUGCUGCCUCUGUUAACCAUAUGGAUGUCCAUGAUUGGAACUACAAUACUGUUCCUACUAUUUCUGGAAGCAAUGUUGAUGCUCAUGAUACUCUUACCACUGGAUACCAUGUUAAUUUCCCUGAUGUCUCCUGCAAUGAGUGACAUGGUAAGGUUGGUACCAGGGUUCUUCCUUGCCCAUGGAUCUGAUGUGAGGUUCUGUUUGUGCUACCUGAGACAAUGUUGAUACAAGAGUUCUGUCUUUCCAACAUGAAGAAUGUUAAUUUCCCUGAUCUCAAUACCAAAGUAAACUAUGUGGCUAUCCUUUCUACAUGCUGCCACCUGAAUCCUUGAGGAUUUCAUUGAUCUCUGCUGCUUCUGUUACACAUAUGGAUGUCCAUGAUUGGAAGCACAAUGACAUUAGUAUUUCUAGAAGCAAUGUUGAUGCUAAUUAUCUUCUUACUACUGGGCACCAUGUUGAAUUCUAUGAUCUCUCCUGCUACAAGUCACCACCUUAAGGUAAGUGUUUCUUGUUGCCAAUGUAUAGAAUGGUAAUUUUCAGGAUUUAACUAACUUUUGGUAACUAAGUUGAUACACAUAAUUCUUUUUGCCACCUGCAGCCAAGCUUAUCCCAUUGAUCACUAAAGCCUUUGAUAUUAAUGAAUGAAGAUCUCAUGCAUUCCUAUUGGUUGUAUAAAGCCCUGUUGAUGCAUGUGGUCCUUGUUACCAUGGGAUAACACCUUGAUUGCUAUGAAAUCUCCAUCCCCUUAUGACCUUACUAAUAUAAGUGUUCUGUGUUGGCAAUAUGAAGAAUGUAAUUUCCAAGAAUUGAAAUACUAACAGAAACUAGAUUAAUAUCCUGAAUACAUGCAGCUACCACUAAACAAGUUGAGUUCAUUAGUCCCAGCUGAGUCUCUUAAACAUGUGCAUGACCAUGAUUGGAACUACAAUGCUAUUCCUACUCCUUCUGGAAGCAAUGUUGAUGCUCAUGAUCUUCUUACCACUGGACACCAUGGUGACUUCCAUGAUCUCUCCUGCUACAAGUGACCACAUAAAUCUCUUAAACAUGUGCGUGUCCAUGAUUGGAACUUCAAUGCUAUUCCUAUUCCUCCUGGAACCAAUGUUGAUGCUCAUCAUCUUCUUAAGACUGGACACCAUGGUGACUUCCAUGAUCUCUCCUGCUACAAGUGACCAUAUUAAGGUAAGUGUACCUUUUUGGCAAUAUAUAGAAUGGUAAUUUCUGAGAUUUCAUAACCUUUGUUAACUUAGCUAAUAUCUGUAAUUCAUGCUGCUACCUGGAACCAUGAUGCUGUCAUUUACCGCUGCUUCCUCUGUUAACCCUGUUGUCUAUGAAAGGAACUGCCAUGCGUUCCUAUUGGUUCUGUAAGCCAUGUUGAUGCAUGUGGUCCUUGUUACCAUUGGAUGACAUCUUCAUUUCCAUGACCUCUCUGGCAGCUUAUGACCAUAUUAAUGUAAAUGUUCUGUGUUGCCAACAUAAAGAAUAUAAAUAUCCAAGAACUGAAAUAACAACUGAAACUAAGUUGAUAUCCAGAAUACUUGCUGUCACCUCCAAACAAACUGAAUUCAUUCAUCCCUACUGCAUCUGUUAAACACGUGGAUGUCCAUGAGUGGAUAGAUCAUGCAGCUCCUACUAUUUCUGGAAGCCACUUUGAUGCCAGGGUUCUUUCUAGCCCAUGGAUCUGAUGUUGAUGUCUAUCUGUCCUGCUACCUGAAACCAUAUUGGUGCAAGGUAUCUGUCUUUCCAACAUGAAGAAUAUUAAUUUCCCUGAUCUCAACUACCAAAUUAAACUAUGUGGCUAUCCAUUCAAAAUACUUCCACCUGAAAUGUUGUGGAUUUAAUUGAUUCCUGCUGCUUCUGUUACCCAUAUGGAUGUCCAUGAUUGGAACUAUAAUGCUUUUCCCACUACUUCUGGUAGCAGUGUUGAUGCUCAAGGUCUUGUAAACAUCUGGACACCAUGUUGAUUUCCAUGAUCUCUGUUUCUACAGGUGAUUAUGUUAAUGUAGACUUUCCUUGUUGCCAAUGUAUAGAAUGGCAAUUUCCAAGAUUUAACCAACUUUGGGUAACUAAGUUAAUACACAUAAUGCAUCCUCCCACCUGCAGCCAUGCUGAUGUCAUUGAUCACUGCUGCCCUUGCAAACCCUGCUGAUAUUAAUGAAUGGAGCUCCCCUGCAUUUCUAUUGGUUCUGUAAGCCAUGUUGAUGCAGGUGGUCCUUUAUACCAUGGGCUAACACCUUGAUUACCAUAAAUUCUCCAGCCCAUUAUAGCUAUAUUAAGGCAAGUGUUCCUUUUGGGGAAUGUGUAGAAUGGUAAUUUACAAGAUUUAACAAGCAUUUGUAACUAAGCAGAUAUCCAUAAUUCAUGCUGCCACUUCCAACCAUGCUGAUGUCAUUGAUCCCCUUUGCCAAUGUUAACCCUGUUGAUGUCUAUGAAUGCACCUGCAAUGCAUUCCGUUUUUUUUUUUUUCUUCUGUAAGCCAUGUUGAUGAAUGUGGUACUUGUUACCAUGGGAUAACAUUUUGAUUGCCAUGACCUCUCUGGCCCAUUAUGAUCAAAUUGAUGGCAGGGUUCUGUGUUGCCAUCAUAAAACAUGUAAAUUUCCAAGAAUUGAAAUACCAAGUGAAACUAAGGUGAUAUCCGGAAUAUUUGCUCUCACCUCCAAAAAACUGAAUUCAUUCAUCCCUGCUCCAUCUGUUAAAAAUGUGAAUGUCCAUGAGCAGACUUCCAAUGCUAUUCCUACUAUGUCUGGAAGCCACAUUGAUGCCAGGGUUCUUUCUUGCCCAUGGAUCUGAUGUUGAUGUCUAUCUGUCCUCCUACCAGACACCAUGUUGGUGCAAGUGUUCUGUCUUUCCAUCAUAACGAAAGUUAAUUUCUCUUAUCUCAACUAACAAAGAAAACUGUGUGGCUCUCCAUUGUACAUUUUGCCACCUGAAACACUGUGGAUAUAAUACAUCCCUACUGCUUCUGUUAACCGUGUGGAUGUCCAUGGUGGAGGCACAAUACCAUUCCUACUACUUCUGGAAGCAAUGUUGAUGUUCAUUAUCUUCUUAUACUGGGCACCAUGAUGACUGAUAUGAUCUCUCCUGCUAGAGUUCAUCACCUUAAGUGCUAUUCUUUCUCCUCCUGGAACCAAUGUUGACGCUCAUGAUCUUCUUACCACUGGACACCAUGGUGAAUUCCAUGAUCUCUCCUGCUACAUACAAGUGAUCAUAUUAAGUGAUAUUCCUACUCCUUCUGGAACCAAUGUUGAUGCUCAUGAUCUUCUUACCACUGGACAACAUGGUGACUUCCAUGAUCUCUCCUGCUACAAGUGAUCAUAUUAAGGGCGUGACAGGAAUUACUAUUGUUUCUGUAAGCCAUGUUGAUGCAUAUGGUCUUUGUUACCGUGGGAUAGCAUCUUGAUUGCCAUGACAUCUCUGGCCCCAUAUGACCAUAUUAAUGUAUGUGUUUUGUGUUGCCAACAUAAAGAAUGUAAAUUUCCAAUAACAAAAAUAUCAACUGAAACUAAGUUAAUAUACAGAAUACUUGCUGUCACCUCCAAACAAAUUGAAUUCAUUCAUCCCUGCUGCAUCUUUUAUACAUGCGGAUAUCCAUGAGCAGACAUACCAUGCUAUUCCUACUAUUUCUGGAAGCCACAUUGACGCCAGGGUUCUUUCUUGCCAUGGAUCUGAUGUUGAUGUCUAUCUGUUCUGCUACCUGAGACCAUGUUGAUGCAAGAGAUCUGUCUUUCCAACAUGAAGAAUGUUAAUUUCUCCGAACCCAAAUAACUAUGUGGCUAUCCAUUCUACGUGCUGCCACCUGAUACUUUGUGAAUUCAUUGAUCCUGGCUGUUUCCGUUACCAGUAUGGAUGUCCAUGAUUGGAACUAUAAUUCUUUUCCUACUACUUCUGGUAGCAAUGUUGAUGCUCAAGGUCUUAUAAACCACUGAACCCCAUGUUGAUUUCCAUGAUCUCUGUUGCUAGAGGUGAUGAUGUUAAUGUAAGUGUUCCUUGUUGCCAAUGUAUAGAAUGAUAAUUUCCAAGAUUAAACCAACUUUUGGUAACUAAGUUAAUACACAUAAUGCAUCCUCACACCUGCAGUCAUGCUGAUGUCAUUGAUCACUGCUGCCUUUGCAAACCCUGCUGAUAUUAAUGAAUGGAGCUCCCCUGCAUUUCUAUUGGUUCUGUAAGCCAUGUUGAUGCAGGUGGUCCUUUAUACCAUGGUUUAACAUCUUGAUUGCCAUAAAUUCUCCAGCACUUAUGGCCAUAUUAAGGCAAGUGUUCCUUUUGGGCAAUGUGUAGAAUGGUAAUUUCCAAGAUUGAACAAGCAUUGGUUACUAAGCAGAUAUCCGUAAUUCAUGCUGCCACCUCCAUCCAUGCUGAUGUCAUUGAUCCCCUUUGGCAAUGUUAACCCUAUUGAUGUCUGUGAAUAUGAAUGCACCUCCAAUGCAUUCCUGUUGUUUCUGUAAGCCAUAUUGAUACAUGUGGUCCUUGUUACCAUGGUAUAACAUCUUGAUUGCCAUGACCUCUUGGGCCCCUUAUGUCCAUAUUGAUGGAAGUGUUCUGUGUUGCCAACAUAAAGAAUGUAAAUUUCCAAGAAUUGAAAUACCAACUGAAACUAAGUUGAUAUCCAGAAUAUUUGCUGUCAUCUCCAAACAAAUUGAAUUCAUUUAUUCUGGCUGCAAUUGUUAAACAUGUGGAUGUCCAUGAGCAGACCCACAAUACUGUUCCUACUACUUCUGGAAGCCACAUUGAUGCCAGGGUUCUUUCUUGCCCAUGGAUCUGAUGGUGAUGUCUAUCUGUCCUCCUACCUGACACCAUGUUGGUGCAAGUGUUCUAUCUUUCCAUCAUAACGAAGUUAAUUUCUCUGAUCUCAACUACCAAAGUAAACUGUGUGGCUCUCCUUUGUACUUUUUGCUGCCUGAAACACUGUGGAUAUAAUACAUCCCUACUGCUUCUAUUAGCCAUGUGGAUGUCCAUCAUUGGAGGCACAAUACCAUGCCUACUACUCUGGAAGCAAUGUUGAUGCUCAUUAUCUUCUUACCACUGGGCACCAUGUUGAUUGCUAUGAUCUCUUCUGCUACAAGUCACCACCUUAAGGUAAAUGUUUGUUGUUGUCAAUGUAUGGAAUGGUAAUUUCCAAGAUUUAACUAACUUUUGGUAACUAACUUGAUACAUAUAAUUCAUACUGCCACCUGCAGCCACGCUGAUGUUAUUGAUCACUGCUGCCUUUAUAAACCCUUUUGAUAUUAAUGAAUGACGCUCCCAUGCAUUCCUAUUUUUUCUGUAAACCAUAUUGAUGCAUGUGGUCUUUGUUAUCAUGGGAUAACACCUUGAUUGCUAUGAAUUCUCCAUCCCCCUAUCAGCUUAUUUAUGUCAAUGUUCUGUGUUGGCAAUAUGAAGAAUGUAAUUUCCAAGAAUUGAAGUACUAACAGAAACUAAGUUAAUAUUCUGAAUACAUGCUGCUACCUGCAAACAAAUUGAGGUCAUUAAACACAACUGAGUCUAUUAAAAAUGUGCAUUUCCGUGAUUGGAACUAUAGUGCUAUUCCUACUCCUUCUGGAAGCAAUGUUGAUGCUCAUGAACUUCUUACCACUGGACACCAUGGUUGAUUACCAUGAUCUCUCCUGCUACAAGUGACAAUAUUAAGGUAAGUGUCCCUUUUUGGCAAUAUAUAUAAUGGUAAUUCCCAACAUUUAAUGAACCUUUGUUAACUUAGUGAAUAUUUGUAAUUCAUGCUGCCACCUGCACCCAUGCUGAUGUCAUUGAUCCCUGUUAACCUUGUCGAUGUUUAUGAAAGGGCGUGAAAGGAAAUACUAUUGUUUCUGUAAGCCAUGUUGAUUCAUAUUGUCUUAGUUUCCGUGGGAUAACUUUUUGAUUCCCAUGACCACUCUGUCCCCUUGUGACCAUAUUCAUGGAAGUGUUCUGUGUUGCCAGCAUAAAGAAUGUAAAUUUCCAAGAACAGAAAUAGCAACUGAAACUAUUUUGAUAUCUGGAAUACUUGUUGUCUCCUCCAAACAAAUUGAUUUCAUUCAUCCCUGCUGCAUUUGUUAAUCAUGCAGAUGUCCAUGAGCAGACAUACCAUGCUAUUCCUACUAUUUCUGGGAGACAUGUUGAUGCCAGGGUUCUUUCUUGCCCAUGGAUCUGAUGUUGAUGUCCAUCUGUCCUCUUACCUGAGACAUGUUGAUGCAAGAGUUCUGUCUUUCCAGCAUGAAGAAUGUUAAUUUUCCUGAUCUUUAAAACCAAAGUAAACUAUGUGGCUAUCCAUUCAAUAUGCUACCACCUGAAACCUUGUGGAUUUAAUUGAUCCCUGCUGCUUCAAUUACCGAUAUGGAUGUCCAUGAUUGGAACUAUAAUACUUUUCCUACUACUUGUGGUAGCAGUGUUGUUGCUCAUGGUCUUGUAAACCACUGGACACCAUGUUGAUUUCCAUGAUCUCUGUUUCUACAGGUGAUUAUGUUAAUAUAGACUUUCCUUGUUGCCAAUGUAUAGUUGAUACACAUAAUUCAUGUUGCCACCUGCAGCCAUGCUGAAGUCAUUGAUCACUGCUGCCUUUGCAAACCCUGCUGACAUUAAUGAAUGGAGCUCCCCUGCAUUCCUAUUGGUUCUGUAAGCCAUGUUGAUGCAGGUGGUCCUUUAUACCAUGGGUUAAUAUCUUGAUUGCCAUAAAUUCUUUAGCCCCUUAUGGCCAUAUAAAGGCAAGGGUUUCUUUUUGGCAAUGUGUAGAAUGGUAAUAUCCAAGAUUUAACAAGCAAUGGUUACUAAGCAGAUAUUCGUAAUUCAUGCUGCCACUUCCAUCCAUGCUGAUGUCAUUGAUCCCUUUUGCCAAUAUUAACCCUGUUGAUGUCUGUGAAUGUGAAUGCACCUCCAAUGCAUUCCUGUUGUUUCUGUAAGCCAUGUUGAUACAUGUAGUCUUUGUUACAAUGGUAUAACAUCUUGAUUGCCAUGACCUCUUGGGCCCCUUAUGUCCACAUUGAUGGAAGUGUUCUGUGUUGCCAACAUAAAGAAUGUAAAUUUCCAAGAAUUGAAAUACCAACUGAAACUAAGUUGAGAUCCAGAAUAUUUGCUGUUAUCUCCAAACAAAUUGAAUUCAUUUAUUCUGGCUGCAUUUGUUAAACAUGUGGAUGUCCAUGAGUGGGCCCACAAUACUGUUCCUACUACUUCUGGAAGCCACAUUGAUGCCAGGGUUCUUUCUUGCCCAUGGAUCUGAUGUUGAUGUCUAUCUGUCCUCCUACCUGACAGCAUGUUGGUGCAAGUGUUCUGUCUUUCCAUCAUAACGAUAGUUAAUUUCUCUGAUCUCAACUACCAAAGUAAACUGUGUGGCUCUCCUUUGUACUAUUUGCUACCUGAAACACUGUCCAUAUGAUACAUCCCUACUGCUUCUGUUAACCAUGUGGAUGUCCAUCACUGGAGGCACAAAACCAUGCCUUCUACUCUGGAAGCAAUGUUGAUGCUCAUUAUCGUCUUACCAGUGGGCACCAUGUUGAUUGCUAUUAUCUCUUCUGCUACAAGUCACCACCUUAAGGUAAAUGUUUGUUGUUGUCAAUGUACAGAAUGGUAAUUUCCAAGAUUUAACUAACUUUUGGUAACUAACCUGAUACACAUAAUUCAUACUGCCGCCUGCAGCCAUGCUGAUGUCAUUGAUCACUGCUGCCUUUAUAAACCCUUUUGAUAUUAAUGAAUGAAGCUCCUAUGCAUUCUUAUUUUUUUCUGUAAGCCAUAUUGAUGCAUGUGGUCCUUGUUAUCAUGGGAUAACACCUUGAUUGCUAUGAAUUCUCCAUCCCCUUAUCACCUUAUUUAUGUCAAUGUUCUGUGUUGGCAAUAUGAAGAAUGUAAUUUCCAAGAACUGAAUACUAACAGAAACUAAGUUAAUAUCCUGAAUACAUGCUGCUACCUCCAAACAAAUUGAGGUCAUUAAACACAACUGAGUCUAUUAAAAAUGUGCAUGUCGGUGAUUGGAACUAUAGUGCUAUUCCUACUCCUUCUGGAAGCAAUGUUGAUGCUUAUGAUCUUCUUACCACUGGACACCAUGGUUGAUUACCAUGAUCUCUCCUGCUACAAGUGACAAUAUUAAGGUAAGUGUCCCUUUUUGGCAAUAUAUAUAAUGGUAAUUCCCAAGAUUUAAUGAACCUUUGUUAACUCAGUGAAUAUUUGUAAUUCAUGCUGCCACCUGCACCCAUGUUGAUGUUAUUGAUCCCUGCAGCCUCUGUUAACCUUGUCGAUGUUUAUGAAAGGACAUGAAAGGAAUUACUAUUGUUUCUGUAAGCCACGUUGAUUCAUAUUGUCUUAGUUUCCGUUUGAUAACUCUUUGAUUCCCAUGACCACUCUGUCCCCUUGUGACCAUAUUCAUGGAAGUGUUCUGUGUUGCCAGCAUAAAGAAUGUAAAUUUCCAAGAACAGAAAUAGCAACUGAAACUAUUUUGAUAUCUGGAAUACUUGUUGUCUCCUCCAAACAAAUUGAAUUCAUUCAUCCCUGCUGCAUUUGUUAAUCAUGCAGAUGUCCAUGAGCAGACAUACCAUGCUAUUCCUACUAUUUCUGGGAGACAUGUUGAUGCCAGGGUUCUUUCUUGCCCAUGGAUCUGAUGUUGAUGUCCAUCUGUCCUCCUACCUGAGAUCAUGUUGAUGCAAGAGUUCUGUCUUUCCAGCAUGAAGAAUGUUAAUUUUCCUGAUCUUAACUACCAAAGUAAACUAUGUGGCUAUCCAUUCAAUAUGCUACCACCUGAAACCUUGUGGAUUUAAUUGAUCCCUGCUGCUUCCAUUACCGAUAUGGAUGUCCAUGAUUGGAACUAUAAUGCUUUUCCUACUACUUAUGGUAGCAGUGUUGUUGCUCAUGGUCUUGUAAACCACUGGACACCAUGUUGAUUUCCAUGAUCUCUGUUUCUACAGGUGAUGAUGUUAAUGUAGACUUUCCUUGUUGCCAAUAUAUAGAAUGGUAAUUUCCAAGAUUUAACCAACUUUUGGUAACUAAGUUGAUACACAUAAUUGAUGCUGCCACCUGCAGCCAUGCUGAAGUCAUUGAUCACUGCUGCCUUUGCAAACCCUGCUGACAUUAAUGAAUGGAGCUCGCCUCCAUUCCUAUUGGUUCUGUAAGCCAUGAUGAUGCAGGUGGUCCUUUAUAUCAUGGGUUAAUAUCUUGUUUGCCAUAAAUUCACCUGCCCCUUAUGGCUAUAUUAAGGCAAGUGUUCCUUUUUGGCAAUGUGUAGAAUGGUAGUUUCCAAGAUUUAACAAGCAUUGGUAAUUAAGCAGAUAUCCGUCAUUCACGCUGUAACCUCCAACCAUGCUGAGGUCAUUGAUCACUGUUGCCACUGUUAAUCCUGUUGUUGUCUAUGAAUGCACCUCCAAUGCAUUCCUAUUGGUUUUGUAAGCCAUGUUGAUGCACGUGGUCAUUAUUACCAUGGGAUAACACCUUGAUUGCUUUCAAUUCUCCAUCCACUUAUUGCCUUAUUUCUGUAAGUGUUCUGUGUUGCCUAUAUAAAGAAUGUAAUUUCCAAGAAUUGAUAUACUAUCAGAAACUAAGUUAAUAUCCUGAAUACAUGCUGCUACCUCCAAACAAGUUGAGGUCUUUAAUCCCAGAUGAGCCUCUUAAACAUAUGCGUGUCCAUGAUUGGAACUACAAUGCUAUUCCUACUCCUUCCGGAUGCAAUGUUGAUGCUCAUUAUCUUACCACUGGACAACAGGUUGAUUUCCAUGAUCUCUCCUGCUACAAGUUAUCAUGUUAAGGUAAGUGUUCCUUUUUGGCAAUACAUAGAAUGGUAAUUCUCAAGAUUUAAUGAACCUUUGUUAACUUAGCUUAUAUCUGUAAUUCAUGCUGCCACCUGCACCCGUGAUGUUCUCAUUAACCUCUGCUUCCUCUGUUAACUUUGAUGAAGUCUAUUAUAGGACCUGUCUAACAUUCCUAUUGUUUUUGUAAGCCAUGUUGAUUCAGGUGGUUCCUGUUACCAUGGGAUAACAUGUUGAUUGCCAUUAACUCUCUGGCUACUUAUGUCCAUAUUAAUGUAAAUGUUCUGUGUUGCCAACAUAAAGAAUGUAAAUUUCUAAGAAGGAAAAUACCAACUGAAACUAGGUUAAUACCUGGAAUACUUGCUGUCACCUCCAAACCAAUUGAAUUCAUUCAUCCCUGCUGCAUCUAUUAGACAUGUAUAUGUCCCUGAGCAGACAUACCAUGCUAUUCCUACUAUUUCUGGAAGCCAUGUUGAUGCCAGGUUCUUUUCUUGCCCAUGGAUCUAAUGUUGAUGUCCAUCAUUCCUGCUACUUGAGACCAUGUUAUGUCUUUCCAUCACAAAAAAGUUUGUUUCCCUGAUCUCAACUACUAUAGUAAACUAUGUGGCUAUCUAUUCAACAUGCUGCCACCUGAAACUUUGUGGAUUUAAUUGAUCCCUGCUACUUUUGUUACCCAUAUGGAUAUCUAUCUAAUAGGAGACCCUAUUGGUCCAAUGUUCUAUGCUGCCAAUAUGAUGAAUGUUAAUUGCCAUGAUCUCAGCUACCAUCUGAAACUGUUGAUAUUUACAUGCUGCCACCUACAACCUUGUUGAUGACAUUGAUGCCUGCUGUCCUCUUUAUCAUGUUCAUGAACCUCUCUGUGCUAUUCCUAUGGGUUUGAAGUCCAUGUUGAUGCCUUAUGGUAAGUUUUGCUCCUGGAUAAGAUGUUGAUGUUAAUAGUCUGACCUGCCACCUGAGACCAUGCUGAGGUAAGUUUUCUGUGUUGCCAACAUGAAGAAUAUUGAUUUCUAAGAGUUGAUCUGCCAUUGGAACUGAAGUUGAUAUCUGUAAUUCAUUCUGUCCCUGGAACCGUGUUGAUACCACUGAUUCUUGCUUCUUUUGUUUAUCAUGUUAAUUACCAUGAUCUGGCCUACCAUGCUGUCCCUACUGAUUCUGGAAGCCAUGUUGAUGCCUGUGGUUCUUGGUGCCCAGGGAUAUGAUAUUGAUGUCGAUGUUCUGUUCUGACUCCUUAAUCCAUGCUGAGGCCACCACAUUGAUGUCACUGAUCCUUGCUGUAUGUUUUAACUAUGUUGAUAUCCAUGAGCCAACCCUCCAUUCAAAACUAUGUUGAUGUCAUGGAUCCUUCCUACUUCUGCUAUGUUGCUGCCCAUGAUCUCACCUACCAUUCAACCCCUACUGCUUCAGGGAGCCAUGGCGAUGCCUGCAGUCCUUGUUGCCCCUGGAUGCGAUGUUGACAUCCAUGUUCUGUCCUUGCACCUGAGACCACAUUGAGGAAAUCAUGUUGAUGUCACUGUUCUUUGCUGCAUCUUCUAACCAUGUUGAUGUUCAUCAUCCAACCUACCGUCCAAAACUUUGUUGAUGUUACUGAUCUAUGUUGUAGCUGUCAACAUGUUGAGGUUACUGAACUUUGCUACCACCUGUAACCAUAUUGAUGUCUGCAGUGUACAGUGUCAUCAGAAACAAUGUUGAAGUCAUUCGUCCAUACUGCUGCCUGAGACCCAGUUCAAGCAACCAUGUUGAUGUGACUGAUUCUCGCUGCCUGUCUUAACCUGGCUGAUAUCCAUGAUUCGACCUGUUUUCUGAAACUUUGCUGAUGUCACUGAUCUUUGCUAUUGCUGUCAACCAUGUUGAUGCUACUGAAACUUGCUUCCGCUUGUAACCAUACUGCUGUCUGUAGUCUGUUAUCAUCUGAGACAAUGCAGAAAUCAGUGGUGCAUACUACCACCUGAGACCCAAUUCAGGAAACCAGCCUUGUUGAUGUCACUGAUCUUUGUUCCCUGUUUUGACCAUGUGGAUGUCCGUUAUCUGACUUAACAUCUGAAAUUAUGUUGAUGUCACUCAUUCAUGCUGCCGCUGAUAACCAUGUUUAUGGCCAUAGUCUUUGUUGGAAUCUUAGACCUUGUGGAUGUCCAUUGUCCAUGUUGCCACCUGAAUCUACGAUGAUGACCACGAUGAUUGUAGUCUGUGCUGCUGCUGGGGAUUAGGUCAAUAUAAAUGAUCUGAGCUGCCAACAGAAACUAUUUUGAUAUCAUUAAGCCAUCCUGGUGCUGGAGACCAUGUUGACAUCUUUGUCCUUGCUGCCACCAAAAACUAUGUUUAUGUUCAUGCUCUGGGCUGCAUGCUGAAGACCAGUUGAAUAUCCAUGACCCAGAUGCUGAUGAAGAAUGUGUCAACGUCUGUCAUUAGUACUGCCACAAGCAGUCAUCCUGAUAGUGAUCUGUGAUGCCUCCCGCAAACAUGUUAUGUUGGUGAUCUGUGUUGAUGUCAUGGACCAGAUGGAUGUCAGUUAUCCAAGCUGUCACCAGAAAUCUUGUGGACCAUGAUCUGUGCUGCUCCUGGAAACCCUUUAGAAGUCUAUGAUCCAUUCUGCUACUGGAAACCAUGUGGAAGUCCGAGAUCUGUACUGCCACUGACUUCUAUUGGCAGGGAGCUUCUUUUACAGUGGUAUCAAUGACUGUAGAAUCAUAACUGAAAUUCAGACAGACAUUGAAGGCUUCUGUGCCACCAUCCCUCAAAAAAGAAAAUCCAGACAGGAUCUUAUUGGAGAGUCCUUGAAAGUUGUAAUAAAAAUACUUAUCUGUA
Molecule: long non-coding RNA, 13438 nt
Organism: Peromyscus eremicus (cactus mouse)
Lineage: Eukaryota; Metazoa; Chordata; Mammalia; Rodentia; Cricetidae
Exons: 16
Source: RefSeq, a predicted model, not a curated record